GAUGAAGAACGUAGCGAAAUGCGAUAAGUAAUGUGAAUUGCAGAAUUCAGUGAAUCAUCGAAUCUUUGAACGCACAUUGCGCCCUCUGGUAUUCCGGGGGGCAUGCCUGUUCGAGCGUCAUUAUAACCACUCAAGCUCUCGCUUGGUAUUGGGGUUCGCGGUUUCGCGGCCCCUAAAAUCAGUGGCGGUGCCUGUCGGCUCUACGCGUAGUAAUACUUCUCGCGAUUGAGUUCGAUAGGUCUACUUGACAGUAACCCCCAAUUUUUACAGGUUGACCUCGGAUCAGGUAGGGAUACCCGCUGAACUUAAGCAUAUCAAUAAGCGGAGGA
This 329-nucleotide unclassified non-coding RNA is filed under the name soil metagenome. RNAcentral's name for it is "partial contains 5.8S ribosomal RNA, internal transcribed spacer 2, and large subunit ribosomal RNA". The stretch from base 1 to 120 matches the Rfam family "5.8S ribosomal RNA", at positions 35 to 154 of the family's 154-position model. The record is from RNAcentral.